Molecule: ribosomal RNA, 68 nt
Filed under: Moraxella catarrhalis
Lineage: Bacteria; Pseudomonadati; Pseudomonadota; Gammaproteobacteria; Moraxellales; Moraxellaceae
Source: RNAcentral
GCUGACGACAAUAGCAAGAUGGAACCACCUGAUCCCUUCCCGAACUCAGAAGUGAAACGUCUUGUGAG